This 322-nucleotide ribosomal RNA is filed under the name uncultured eukaryote. Its description in RNAcentral is "partial 18S ribosomal RNA". It matches the Rfam family "Eukaryotic small subunit ribosomal RNA", at positions 1470 to 1796 of the family's 1831-position model. The record is from RNAcentral.
CCCUUAGAUGUUCUGGGCCGCGCGCGUGCUACACUGAGUGGAUCAGCGGGUCAGGUUGCGCGAAAGUGUUUCCUAAUCUUUAAAUCCGCUCGUGAUGGGGAUUGACGGUUGCAAUUUUCCGUCAUGAACGGGGAAUACCUUGUAAGCGCGGGUCAUCAUCCCGCGCUGAAUACGUCCCUGCCCUUUGUACACACCGCCCGUCGCUCCUACCGAUUGAGUGGUCCGGUGAGGCUUUGGGAUCUGAGCGGAAAGAGCGUUUCGCUGUUUCUGCCCGGAAAACUCAGUCGAACCUUAUCAUUUAGAGGAAGGAGAAGUCGUAACA